This is a long non-coding RNA of Polyodon spathula (Mississippi paddlefish), 1092 nucleotides long. RefSeq lists it as uncharacterized. The record is from RefSeq and is a predicted model, not a curated record. The transcript has 4 exons. Lineage: Eukaryota; Metazoa; Chordata; Actinopteri; Acipenseriformes; Polyodontidae.
UGUAAGUGGUUAGUAUUUGUUUUGGAUCAUUCAAUAGACCAAUAACCAACGUCUUUGAAAUUCUUAUUUUUAAAAUCAAAUAGCUCGGGAUGCUGUGAAACUUCAGCUAUCAGUAGCUCCUCCAUGUUGAUGGAUAUUCACGUUCAUGAAAAAAUGACGUAUCUCACACCAUGGACCUGAUUGUAAUUGAAAUAAAAGGAAUGAAUUCUAGCCCAGAUCUUCCAUCCGGUCCAAAUUGCUUGCCUUAGGAGCAGAUUCAACAGUCUCUGGAGUGGAUCUUUGGAGAAAAAUAAAAGAAGUAACCACUGUAUGUGUGAACGGGACAUCAAGGUUUAGCUGUGUGCUCUGACAUGGAUUCUGAAAAUCAAGCCAUGUGGAAAGCAACGGGGCUUGUGAGCGGUCAAGCCAUGAUGAGAUCAUAAGUUGCACAUCCUUUUUAUUCAGAGGCUUACCUGUUUUUUUUGUCUAGAUACACCACACCUUAUUAACGCCAUGAAAACAGCAUUAUGUAACCACGUUUUCAUACUUCCAAAACAAGCUGUUGAUGAAAAUCAUCUUCCAUGUGACACUUUAAGUCUAAACUAUAAACGUAUUGGAUAAAACUUGGAAAUCACUUGUUUUUUCAGGUCUGUAUUGCUGCAGUUGAAACUAUUAUUGCGCUGCAGUCUAAUUCCACUGAGAAACUUGUGACUGGACUAACUGGUAAUGCAAUCUUGACCACACAAAGUUAUGAAAAGAUGAAGGUAUGUCCAUCGUUAAAUUGUGUUGUGCACCACCAUAUGAAAGGAGAAAAACUAAAUGGGGCCAGAAAAAAUAUUUUUAUCACUUAAGAGCAGUAAAUUUAAAAUGACAAUCUCGUUAAUGUUGACAUAUUUUUGUCUGCAUUGUAGGUUACUCCUGCAUGCAGAGUUUUUUCACACUCUGCAGCAGCUGCUAUUAGACUGCUAAUUCAAUGUGGACAAUUUGGACCAGAGCACAAGACUACUGCGUGGUUCAUAGAUUUGGUUUGACUUGAUGACAUCCCAGAAUCAUCUGCAUGGUGGAUAACUUACAAACUGACAAGUAUUAUGGAACAAAUGUACUACUUUAACA